GCAGUUGAGCGCUGAAGGUUGGUACUUGUACCGACUGGAUGAGCAGCGAACGGGUGAGUAACGCGUGGGGAAUCUGCCUUUGAGCGGGGGACAACAUUUGGAAACGAAUGCUAAUACCGCAUAAAAACUUUAAACACAAGUUUUAAGUUUGAAAGAUGCAAUUGCAUCACUCAAAGAUGAUCCCGCGUUGUAUUAGCUAGUUGGUGAGGUAAAGGCUCACCAAGGCGAUGAUACAUAGCCGACCUGAGAGGGUGAUCGGCCACAUUGGGACUGAGACACGGCCCAAACUCCUACGGGAGGCAGCAGUAGGGAAUCUUCGGCAAUGGACGAAAGUCUGACCGAGCAACGCCGCGUGAGUGAAGAAGGUUUUCGGAUCGUAAAACUCUGUUGGUAGAGAAGAACGUUGGUGAGAGUGGAAAGCUCAUCAAGUGACGGUAACUACCCAGAAAGGGACGGCUAACUACGUGCCAGCAGCCGCGGUA
RNAcentral lists this ribosomal RNA (482 nucleotides) under Lactococcus lactis. RNAcentral describes it as "bacterial SSU rRNA". It matches the Rfam family "Bacterial small subunit ribosomal RNA", at positions 57 to 522 of the family's 1533-position model. The record is from RNAcentral. Lineage: Bacteria; Bacillati; Bacillota; Bacilli; Lactobacillales; Streptococcaceae.